This 435-nucleotide ribosomal RNA is filed under the name uncultured bacterium. RNAcentral describes it as "partial 16S ribosomal RNA". It matches the Rfam family "Bacterial small subunit ribosomal RNA", at positions 29 to 507 of the family's 1533-position model. The record is from RNAcentral.
AGCGAACGCUGGCGGCAGGCUUAACACAUGCAAGUCGAGCGGGCACCCUCGGGUGUCAGCGGCAUACCGGUGAGUAACACGUGGGAACGUACCCUUCGGUUCGGAAUAUCUCUGAGUAACUAGCGCUAAUACCGGAUACGCCCUUAUGGGGUAAUGUUUACUACCGAAGGGUCGGCUCGCGUCUGAUUAUCUUGUUGGCUUGGGUACGGCCUACCAAGGCGAGGAUCAGUAUAUGGGCUGAGAGGAUGAUCAGCGACACUGGGGCGGAGACACGGUCCAGACUCUUACGGGAGGCAGGAGAGGGGAAUAGUGGACAAUGGGCGGAAGGCUGAUCCAGCCCGGCCGGGUGAGUGAUGAAGGCCUUAGGGUUGUAAAGUUCUUUUGUCCGGGACGAUAAUGACGGUACCGGAAGAAUAAGCCCCGGCUAACUUCGUG